This 1005-nucleotide long non-coding RNA is filed under the name Urocitellus parryii (Arctic ground squirrel). RNAcentral describes it as "lncRNA (ENSUPAG00010002685.1)". The record is from RNAcentral. Lineage: Eukaryota; Metazoa; Chordata; Mammalia; Rodentia; Sciuridae.
GUGAGACUUUUGAAAACAAGAUCCUUUUUGUCCCCCCACCCCCAUCAUAACGCAGCUGUGGACUGUAGACGUGCGAGUGCCUUAUGGCGCGCAGGGCGGGGAGGAAGGGGUGCCSCCACAGAAGGCAGGAGUUUCCGCGAACAAUUUGCCGGCGGCCCGCGUCUUCCCGGCUGGGACCCCGGGCCCGAGCUUUUGGGGGCUGGGUGUGGUGAUGGGGGAGGGGGCUCGAGCCGCGGUCUUCCCGCGUACUUUCCGGAAGCCCCCUGUGCGGAGGGGGAAGGGCGCCAAGUAGGGGGCCGGGGUCGUGGCCGGUGGGUGUGGAGGCGCGGUGGCCGGACCAACCCGACCAGCGCUGCUGGCCAACUGGGAGCGACGUCGAAAGCGGGUCGAACCGGCUCUUUAAACUUCCCCGAGUGUGUGCUGGGGGAGGGGAGCGCUCCGCGCCGAACUGGGAGCGAUUUCUCACGCUUCGCCCCCUYGCCUCCGAGUCCCCGGCCCACACGCCUGCCCCCUGCCUCGAGGCGGGGUGGGGCGCGGGUGGCGGGGGAGGGGGCACUUUCUGCACAUUUGGGGGGGAGGGAGAGAAAGCUCGCGAAAGAGGGACAAAAGGGGUGGGGGAGGAGGAACUGUUUUUUAAAAAUAAACGUUUUUAAGACGAAUAGCUCCCGGAGAGCGCCCCCUGCGCCCCUCCCCGCCGCGCUCCCACCCGGGCCCCCACACACCCACCUUUGGCACCUCUCCCAACUCGGAUCCGGGGGCUGGUGGCCACGCCGCGACGCCGAACUAGGACGAGCAGCCAUGUUUCCCGGGUCUCUCGCGGCCGCCCCGCCCCUCCCCCAUGGCGCGGCCGGCGCGCGGCGCGGGGCUCGGAAUGCGGGCUCGGGCUCCGGCUCCAUGCGGCGCGGAGCGGCGGCUGGGCGGUGGGCGCGCGGGCCGGGAGGGUGCGCCGGCGGCCUGCGGCUUCCCGAGCUGGCUCCGAGCUCCAGGUGUUUUAUUUGUGAUUAG